AGUGAAGCGGGAAAAGCUCAAAUUUAAAAUCUGGCGGUUCUGCCGUCCGAGUUGUAAUUUAGAGAAGUGUUAUCCGCGCUGGACCGUGUACAAGUCUCCUGGAACGGAGCGUCAUAGAGGGUGAGAAUCCCGUCUUUGACACGGACUACCAGGGCAUUGUGAUGCGCUCUCGAAGAGUCGAGUUGUUUGGGAAUGCAGCUCAAAAUGGGUGGUAAAUUCCAUCUAAAGCUAAAUAUUGGGGAGAGACCGAUAGCGAACAAGUACCGUGAGGGAAAGAUGAAAAGAACUUUGGAAAGAGAGUUAAACAGUACGUGAAAUUGCUGAAAGGGAAACGCUUGAAGUCAGUCGCGUCGUUCGGGAUUCAGCUUUAGCUUCUGCUUUGUGCACUUCCUGUUYGACGGGUCAGCAUCAGUUUUGGCCGGUGGAUAAAGGCUCAGAGAAUGUGGCAUCUUCGGAUGUGUUAUAGCUCUGGGUCGCAUACAUCGGCUGGGACUGAGGGACUCAGCACGCCGCAAGGCCAGGUUUCGACCAUGUUCGUGCUUAGGAUGCUGGCAUAAUGGCUUUAAUCGACCCGUCUUGAAACACGGACCAAGGAGUCUAACAUGCCUGCGAGUGUUUGGGUGGAAAACCCGAGCGCGUAAUGAAAGUGAAAGUUGAGAUCCCUGUCGUGGGGAGCAUCGACGCCCGGAGCAGACCUUUUGUGACGCAUCCGCGGUAGAGCAUGUAUGUUGGGACCCGAAAGAUGGUGAACUAUGCCUGAAUAGGGUGAAGCCAGAGGAAACUCUGGUGGAGGCUCGUAG
RNAcentral lists this ribosomal RNA (800 nucleotides) under Mycena cahaya. RNAcentral describes it as "LSU rRNA". It matches the Rfam family "Eukaryotic large subunit ribosomal RNA", at positions 92 to 880 of the family's 3401-position model. Lineage: Eukaryota; Fungi; Basidiomycota; Agaricomycetes; Agaricales; Mycenaceae. The record is from RNAcentral.